RNAcentral lists this ribosomal RNA (459 nucleotides) under uncultured bacterium. Its description in RNAcentral is "partial 16S ribosomal RNA". It matches the Rfam family "Bacterial small subunit ribosomal RNA", at positions 338 to 795 of the family's 1533-position model. The record is from RNAcentral.
CCUACGGGUGGCUGCAGUGAGGAAUAUUGGUCAAUGGUCGGGAGACUGAACCAGCCAAGCCGCGUGAGGGAGGAAGGUACUGAGUAUCUUAAACCUCUUUUGUCAGGGAACAAAUACUGGGACGCGUCCCCGGAUGAGUGUACCUGACGCAACAGCAUCGGCAACCUCUGUGCCAGCAGCCGCGGUAAUACGGAGGAUCCGAGCGUUAUCCGGAUUUAGGGGGUUUAAGGGGUGCGAAGUCGGACUGUUAAGUCAGCGGUAAAAGCCAGGGGCUCAACCCAGCCCCGCCGUUGAAACUGGCAGUCUCGAGUUGGAGAGAGGUAUGCGGAAGGCGCGGUGUAGGGGUGAAAUGCAUAGAUAUCGAGCAGAACUCCGAUUGCGAAGGCAGCAUGCCGGCACCACACUGACGCUGAGGCACGAAAGCGUGGGUAUCGAACAGGAUUAGAUACCCCUGUAGUC